AAAACCGCUGCCUCUGCACUUUGGAAUCCCAUCUUGAGACUCGCUAAGCGUCCCAGCCGCAUCCCUCCCGCAGCGACGGCGGCCCGGGACCCGCGGGCUGUGAACCAUGAACACCCGCAAUAGAGUGGUGAACUCCGGGCUCGGCGCCUCCCCUGCCUCCCGCCCGACCCGGGAUCCCCAGGACCCUUCUGGGCGGCAAGGGGAGCUGAGCCCCGUGGAAGACCAGAGAGAGGGUUUGGAGGCAGCCCCUAAGGGCCCUUCGCGGGAGAGCGUCGUGCACGCGGGCCAGAGGCGCACAAGUGCAUACACCUUGAUAGCACCAAAUAUAAACCGGAGAAAUGAGAUACAAAGAAGUAUGUAUAGUCAUUCAUUUAACAUUCAGAAUGCUUCUCUCUUUUUACAAUUGGUUUGUUUUGGUGUGAAGUAUUUUUAUUUUCUCAUUUAUAUAGACUCACCAAAUCUCAUCAAGGUUUUUUGUUUUUUUUAGUUUUGAUUAUACCUUUAAAAAUAUUCUACUAUUAACACUUCUAAGUUUGUUUCUCUACGUUAGUAACAGAACUCAUGACAUGAUGGUAGAUCCUGGAUUUCUGUUGGCUUGAACAACUUUACACUUAUUGCCAAUAAACCUCCUUGAGGGUAGGGACCACAUCUUACUCGUUUUUGUGCUCUCUGUACUUAAUGCGUACAUAACAUGUUUAAUUGAUGUACAGUAAAUAUAAAUGCUGCCAUUUAAAGUUAUAGCAUUAUCCUUUAGAGGUGGAAGAGAACUAAAGUUCAUUUAGUUCACAAAGAAAUUGUAGGCUUGCUCAAGUCCAGCUGUGGGGCUAUGCUGAAAUUCGAUGGUCUCCUUUAUUACAUGAUUGGUAGGAAAUUUAACUUCAUGACUAAUGAUGGACAGAAAGGCACAAAAGGGAAAAAGCUCUCUAAAGAGUCUCCACCGGACAUGUAGCUCCGGGUGGGACAGCGGGUCAGUGCAGAAUAUGACAAUCACAGCCAUGCAGGGACUAUGGGAACUGCCAGCAGUUCUGGUAUCUUACAAGCUUUUGAUUUAAAUACUUAAUAGGAGAUUAAGUCUCAAUGUGGUCUGGAUUUCGAAAUGUUUCAGAAUUUGUUUUUCUAGUAAUGGACAUUUGAAACAGGUCUCAUGAGGAGAUAAGGGGAGGCGCUGGAGUGACAGAACUAAUUUCUCUCUGGCGCCCCCUGCUGUCGUGCAGAGUGAACAUUUAGGAAAUGAGCCCUGCUCCCCAGGAAGCCGACUCUGCACAGUGGUCUGGAGUGCCUGAAACCAGAGCAAGGGUCUCCACCUGUAGCACCGAGCCCUCAUUCCCUAGAGUCGCAGUAAGCUUGGGAGCAUUGAAGAUAAAGCGAGUAUGGGCAUCAGAAUUCUCUGGGGAUAUGUUUACCUAUGUGUGGAAAGUUCUUAUUGACGUGAAAAUAUUCUAGUUUUGCACACAUUUUCUAUAGGUAACUUUAAAAAUUAACUUGAUAUAGAGUUUUAAAAAUGCCAGAAUGGUAGGAAAAUCUAUACUUCUUUUAGUAGGAGCCCAGGUGGUUUUUCAAAUUCGAACCCUCUGUGCUGACUCUUGGUGAGAAUGUGCCACAGGGCCGGGCCCAGGAUGACCUGUACGGGUCAGGGCUGAAUAUUGUGUUUCUAACCUGGAAGCCUUGUUCACUCAUGCUCACAUAUAGUUAAUUGCCUUCUAAUAGUUGUUUCUUAUGCUUUGAAGGGACUGGUUUUCUUUUAGAAGUCUAAUAAUUGACGAUUUGAUAUUUCUCGCCUGGCUUAGUUGCGGAGCAGGAGCUGGCCAACCUGGAGAAGUGGAAGGAGCAGAACAGAGCUAAACCGGUUCACCUGGUGCCCAGACGGCUAGGUGGAAGCCAGUCAGAAACUGAAGUCAGACAGAAACAACAACUCCAGCUGAUGCAAUCUAAAUACAAGCAAAAGCUAAAAAGAGAAGAAUCUGUAAGAAUCAAGAAGGAAGCUGAAGAAGCUGAACUCCAAAAAAUGAAGGCAAUUCAGAGAGAGAAGAGCAAUAAACUGGAGGAGAAAAAAAGACUUCAAGAAAACCUUAGAAGAGAAGCAUUUAGAGAGCAUCAGCAAUACAAAACCGCUGAGUUCUUGAGCAAACUGAACACAGAAUCGCCAGACAGAAGUGCCUGUCAAAGUGCUGUUUGUGGCCCACAAUCCUCAACAUGGAAACUUCCUAUCCUGCCUAGGGAUCACAGCUGGGCCAGAAGCUGGGCUUACAGAGAUUCUCUAAAGGCAGAAGAAAACAGAAAAUUGCAAAAGAUGAAGGAUGAACAACAUCAAAAGAGUGAAUUACUGGAACUGAAACGGCAGCAGCAAGAGCAAGAAAGAGCCAAAAUCCACCAGACUGAACACAGGAGGGUAAAUAAUGCUUUUCUGGACCGACUCCAAGGCAAAAGUCAACCAGGUGGCCUCGAGCAAUCUGGAGGCUGUUGGAAUAUGAAUAGCGGUAACAGCUGGGGUAUAUGAGAAAAUAUUGACUCCUAUCUGGCCUUCAUCAACUGACCUCGAAAAGCCUCAUGAGAUGCUUUUUCUUAAUGUGAUUUUGUUCAGCCUCACUGUUUUUACCUUAAUUUCAACUGCCCACACACUUGACCGUGCAGUCAGGAGUGACUGGCUUCUCCUUGUCCUCAUUUAUGCAUGUUUGGAGGAGCUGAUUCCUGAACUCAUAUUUAAUCUCUACUGCCAGGGAAAUGCUACAUUAUUUUUCUAAUUGGAAGUAUAAUUAGAGUGAUGUUGGUAGGGUAGAAAAAGAGGGAGUCACUUGAUGCUUUCAGGUUAAUCAGAGCUAUGGGUGCUACAGGCUUGUCUUUCUAAGUGACAUAUUCUUAUCUAAUUCUCAGAUCAGGUUUUGAAAGCUUUGGGGGUCUUUUUAGAUUUUAAUCCCUACUUUCUUUAUGGUACAAAUAUGUACAAAAGAAAAAGGUCUUAUAUUCUUUUACACAAAUUUAUAAAUAAAUUUUGAACUCCUUCUGUAUAAAUGGGUCAUUUUUAUUUUUAAUGAAAAGUUAUUGGGGUUUUCUCUCUUGAAGGGUCUCAUUUUAAUUCCCUUUUCCAGGCCGUAUAGAUCAAAUAUAGUACUGUCAUUACUGUUGGCUCUUGUUUUGGUCUUGACUUACUAAUAGUGUUACCCUGAUUUUCAGAGGGGGACAGUUUAUCUCCAGAAAGGCCAAUGUUUGUAUACACAUCAGCUAGACACAAAUAUAGACAUCAUAUGUAGUUUGUACAUGUUUCAGAAACUUGUUUUUUCUUUGCUCUGUGUAACCUAUUUCCUAUUGCUAGUUCAGUUGGCUUUCUUAUUCACUUCUGUGACCCUGAACCAGUUCUCAGACCCUAGAGUGUAAGAGCAUUGAUUUUCUACGCUGUGUAAUCUAGCUCAAUCCCUCUGUCCCCUCCGCCUCACCGUCCCCCAGCCACCACAUUGUAUAGCAAAAGCAUUACAUUCAAUCCUAGAAUAAAGGUAAAUACAACAAAUCAUCUUUGCAGCUGGACAACUAAUAAUACUUUGCAGCAUUAAGAGAUCUUCUGUGUUACCAGUCACUCUGUUGAAAUGAACUUUCCGAAUCUCUUUAUUCAGGAAAACAUGGGGUUUUGAAAUUCUUGGGCCAAGAGACAUAACUGAGGGGUUCGCAGAGCUAGGCAAGGGUGCACUAGGAAAGGGCCACAUUGGUGGGUGGGGGGUAACAGAGAACAGAUGGUGUCAGGAAGUUUCUCUGGAGUAAAUAAUGUGGAUAUUCUUGGUUUCCCUCUCCUCCGCCAGCUGAAGCUGUGUUAGUGCUGUUGACACUAAUAUAAAAUGUUUGGUCCAUUUGAAAUCCUUGUCAUUGCCUUAUAUGGGGGAAACUCAAUCCCCCAGCCUGUGUUGGAAAUAUCACCAAACUGAUUGUAAAUGUGCGGCUGUAGCAGACAUUUUAGUGUGGUGGUGUGCAGCCAUUUCGGCCCUACACCUGCCAGCCUGGCUACCUUACAGUUGUGUUCCGAUUUUUGCGUCUAUGCUUGGUGUGCCUCACUUGCUGCAUUUUCCAGCAUGCAACCAGGAGUUGACGUAGGAAAAAGGGAUGCUUUCUUACUUUGGAAGCUCUCAGGGAAGUUGGUGUCAAUUUCUCCUCCACUGCCUGGCCUACCCUGCACUCCCAAAGAUUUUGUGCAGAUGGGUAGUUCCAUUUUUUAAAAAUUGUGCAGAUAUGGAAAAUUGUGACUUACUUCAUGACCAGAACUAUCUAGAAUAUGUGUGGGGGUAUAAACAUCUUGCUUAACCAAAUAUCUAUGUAGGCAGAGGUAACCAGGAGAGAAGCAAGACUUGCUGCCUAAAGGAGCCCACCAUUUUACUUUUCACAUUUAAUCUGCCACGUUGAAUCAAUUGGAAUAAAACCUGACUCGCAGGUGACUGGACAGGAAAUCCCAAAGUUCCACCAUUUCUAUGCUUAAUUUUAAUGUCCCCCCGCUUUUUUUUUUGUAGAAAAUAAAAACAAGAAAAUCGUUCCAAUGUAAGAUGUUUGUUAUAGAAACUUUAGGCAAUACAGGUGUGUAAUAAAAUGUUUAAUAAACUUCUAAACACUUUUGUAUUUGGAUUUA
This 4603-nucleotide long non-coding RNA is filed under the name Homo sapiens (human). Its description in RNAcentral is "non-protein coding lnc-EPSTI1-4:1". The record is from RNAcentral. Lineage: Eukaryota; Metazoa; Chordata; Mammalia; Primates; Hominidae.